RNAcentral lists this long non-coding RNA (271 nucleotides) under Manacus vitellinus (golden-collared manakin). RNAcentral describes it as "lncRNA (ENSMVIG00005003529.1)". Lineage: Eukaryota; Metazoa; Chordata; Aves; Passeriformes; Pipridae. The record is from RNAcentral.
GGGAUUUUGUUUUGUUUUCCUCUACCCAAAGGUAUAUUUCCCAAGAGAUAUAACUAAAACAUUCAAUAAUAUUUCUUUGUAUAGCAUCCAAUAAUGCAAUGGCUGGAAGACAAGAAAGCGAUGGAGUAGCUGGGCGGGUGCACUGGAUAUUAUCAAUAAUUUUGAUGCUGUGGAGUUACCAGAGCAGUGGACAAGGACAAGGUAGAUAUUUGGAUUUUAAUUUACUGGUCAUGAGCAUGAACAGCUAAAUCUUUAAAAAGAAAAAGAAAAC